Molecule: long non-coding RNA, 2158 nt
Organism: Lethenteron reissneri (Far Eastern brook lamprey)
Lineage: Eukaryota; Metazoa; Chordata; Hyperoartia; Petromyzontiformes; Petromyzontidae
Source: RefSeq, a predicted model, not a curated record
AAAGCUUCAAAUCAAGCUAUUAACAUUACAUUUGUUAUCAUGUUACAGUCUAUUAUCAGUUUAUUUUCCCAUUAAAAACGAUAGUCUCAUAUAAGUAUUAAAAAAAAUGUAAGCACCCUGUACUGCAAUGAGCAGAAUAAAAAACAUCGUGUUCUGUGUGCAUCCAUUGGUGGCGGGGUCAAGGACAUGAACGCGCCGCUCUUGAUUGGAGCCCAGGACCUCAGCGGCUCCUGCCACGGUACCGACCCAACGAGACCCGGCGUGGGUGUCUCCGGCUCCGGGUUGAGCCGUGUCACCGUCUGCGUGGUUGAGCCGUGGACGCGGUGAUUGAGACGGAGGCUGCCCCGGCGUGAGAGCCGGGCCGAGUCGCACCCUGGGAGCCGUGCCCGCCUCGCCGGAAGCCAGGAGACCGGCAGUCAGGGCGCAAAUUUAAUUAAAAAGCCAAUCCUGGCAGCCAAACGCGAGACCAGCGGAGUUUCCAGGCAAUGAAUUCCAACGGCUCAGUUCACCAAAGCCCAGACGGCCGAGCUAUCGGAGGGGCAGGAACCGAGAGCAGAACGACGACGCGAGGCGGACGAGAGGGAGCAGUGACGGAGCGCAGUUGGCGCAGCUGAGUGAAGGGGCGAGGAGUGAAUACAUUGGGGACGCUGCUGCUGCCGCUGCCACUGCUGCGUAGCGCGUGGAGACACCGUGGUCAUUCGCGAAUUAUAGGGAGCGAGAGAAAGCCUGUUACGCGGAGCGCGCAAGAGCUGCGUGGAGAGACGCGCGCUGGGACUCGUAACCGGGAUGAGACGGAGAGAUGAGCGCGUGGAGUAGGAAGAUCGCCCACGCGGUCAGGAGAAGUGAGUGGGGCUUGGGCAGGACGCGUGCCGGCUGGAAGGGACGACGGGCCAAGAACGAUAACGGCGCGGGGCAGCCAAGGAGCGGGAACGUGUCCGACAGGACGUCCUGCAAGCAGAGAUGGAGCGAUGAUAUCUUCUGUGAAAGCCGAUUGAUGGAGUUUCUUGGCUCGGGGUCAUUCUAAAUAAACUGAACGGAACUGAAGCCAUCCAAAUCCAUCACCUUGGACCGUGGCAGGGAGUGGACGGCACGAACGGCUGUGGUGGCGAGUGGGUGAGGGGCGGUAUCAGCACGUGGUCGGAACUUUAAUCGCGGUCCACGUCCAAAAUCAGAAUCUUCAUCUAAACUGGAGGAAUCGCAUUGAGCUGUGAAGCUCUUAUUCACAGGUCAGAGCCGUCUCCCCUCCCCACCUCCCCGUCACCUUCAGUCGUCCCGAGGGGUUCACGAUGCUCACGUCGCCUGCGGUGGAGAGGGAGAUCCAGCCAAUUUCACGUGGCGGCUGAUAGAGGCGUCAAAUAUCUUCUGGAGCGAGCCCUACAGACUUCACAUCAUCCCCCUCCUCCAUCCACGUUCCCAUGUAAAUGAGAUUUCUCCGAUAUGGAAAACUCAGCGGCUCUCUGUGCCACGUGGGCCAGGUGAGCAUAAUUGGGAUGUUUUUUUUAUUUUCGCGAGCACCGCUGCGACUGCUCUCUCUACGAGGCAUCGCCAUCAUCCGUGGUCAAUCAGCUGCUGGAUGGAGGCCGCCCCGACGAAGUCGCUCUUUCGCGCUUCCACGCGAGAGCCGAUUUCAUCGCUCCAUUUCCUCGCAUGGCUAGCGCCGUAUGUCCGCUCCGUUGUGCAUCGUGGCGUCGGAGUUCAUCUGUUCAGAACCCCGCAGAGCCAUCGGUGGAUAUUCCACAUUCCUGUGGUGGGGGCGAGUCUGUCCAUAAAAUGACGGCUCCCAGCGUGCAAACUGAAACCACAGGUGUGUUGCGUGCGGUGGGGUAAAGUGUGGGGGCUCCCAGUGACGUCGUCACUACACGAUCAGCUCAGAGGGUGCGGAAAUCGGUCAGGUGGGGCCCCGAUAUUUGAUUUGUCUCGCACGGUCCCGCCUUUGCUAUUAUACAGGGUGCUUCCAAUUUGUUUUUUAUACUUCUGAGAAAUUGCAACACCACCACGAGAAAUGUGCCUCCGGGCUCUGGAGAUCACAAGGAGAAGAUUCCAGGCACGUGUUGACAAUGAUGGCGAACAAACGGAAGACUCUGACUGUUUGAAGCUAUGAACAUACAUCUGUUAUCACGUUAGUGUAUUAUCCGUUCUUUUUCCAUUAAAAACGAUA